AUUGAACGCUGGCGGCAGGCUUAACACAUGCAAGUCGAGCGAGAGGCGGACGGGUGAGUAAUGUAUGGGAAACUGACUGAUGGAGGGGGAUAACUACUGGAAACGGUAGCUAAUACCGCAUACCAUCAGAUGUGCCCAGAUGGGAUUAGCUAGUAGGUGGGGUAAGGGCGCACCUAGGCGACGAUCCCUAGCUGGUCUGAGAGGAGGACCAGCCACACUGGAACUGAUACACGGUCCAGAAUCCUACGGGAGUCAGCAGGGGGGAAUAUUUCACAAUGGGCGCAAGCCUGAGGCAGCCAUGCCGCGGGUGUGAAGAAGGCCUUCGGGUUGUAAAGCACUGUCAGCGAGGAGGCGUUACUCGCAGAAGAAGCACCGGCUAACUCCGUGCCAGCAGCCGCGGUAAUAC
This 406-nucleotide ribosomal RNA is filed under the name uncultured bacterium. RNAcentral describes it as "partial 16S ribosomal RNA". It matches the Rfam family "Bacterial small subunit ribosomal RNA", at positions 29 to 526 of the family's 1533-position model. The record is from RNAcentral.